UUGAUCCUGGCUCAUGAUGAACGCUAGCGGCAGGCUUAAUACAUGCAAGUCGAACGGAAACAGGCGGUAGCAAUACUGCGCUGUCGAGUGGCGCACGGGUGCGUAACACGUAUGCAACCUACCCUUAACUGGGGAAUAACCCUGUGAAAGCGGGGCUAAUACCCCAUAAUAUUAUGGUAAGGCAUCUUACUAUUAUCAAAGAUUUAUCGGUUAGGGAUGGGCAUGCGCCCCAUUAGUUAGUUGGUUAGGUAACGGCUAACCAAGACUGUGAUGGGUAGGGGUUCUGAGAGGAUUAUCCCCCACACUGGUACUGAGACACGGACCAGACUCCUACGGGAGGCAGCAGUAAGGAAUAUUGGGCAAUGGACGCAAGUCUGACCCAGCCAUGCCGCGUGCAGGAUGACGGCCUUAUGGGUUGUAAACUGCUUUUGUAUGGGAUUAAAGUGUUGUACGUGUACGACAUUGCAAGUACCAUACGAAUAAGCAUCGGCUAACUCCGUGCCAGCAGCCGCGGUAAUACGGAGGAUGCAAGCGUUAUCCGGAAUCAUUGGGUUUAAAGGGUGCGUAGGUUGAUUAUUAAGUCAGUGGUGAAAAUUCCGGGCUCAACCCGGGACUUGCCGUUGAAACUGAUAAUCUUGAGUGUAACUGAUGUGGGCGGAAUGUGUCAAGUAGCGGUGAAAUGCAUAGAUAUGACACAGAACACCGAUAGCGAAGGCAGCUCACAAAAUUACAACUGACACUGAGGCACGAAAGCGUGGGUAUCAAACAGGAUUAGAUACCCUGGUAGUCCACGCUGUAAACGAUGAUCACUAGCUGUUUGCG
This 822-nucleotide ribosomal RNA is filed under the name uncultured organism. RNAcentral describes it as "bacterial SSU rRNA". It matches the Rfam family "Bacterial small subunit ribosomal RNA", at positions 13 to 828 of the family's 1533-position model. The record is from RNAcentral.